Molecule: transfer RNA, 74 nt
Filed under: Pseudomonadota bacterium
Lineage: Bacteria; Pseudomonadati; Pseudomonadota
Description: tRNA-OTHER
Rfam family: tRNA
About the family: Transfer RNA (tRNA) molecules are approximately 80 nucleotides in length. Their secondary structure includes four short double-helical elements and three loops (D, anti-codon, and T loops).
Source: RNAcentral
GCGGGAAUAGCUUAGUUGGUAGAGCGCAGCCCUCCAAGGCUGAGGCGCAGUUUCGAAACCUGUUUCCCGCUCCA